UACAGAGGUCUCAAGCGUUGUUCGGAUUCAUUGGGCGUAAAGGGUGCGUAGGCGGCGCGGUAAGUCGGGUGUGAAAUCUCGGAGCUUAACUCCGAAACUGCAUUCGAUACUGCCGUGCUUGAGGACUGGAGAGGAGACUGGAGUUUACGGUGUAGCGGUGAAAUGCGUAGAUAUCGUAAGGAAGACCAGUGGCGAAGGCGGGUCUCUGGACAGUUCCUGACGCUGAGGCACGAAGGCCAGGGGAGCAAACGGG
RNAcentral lists this ribosomal RNA (253 nucleotides) under uncultured bacterium. Its description in RNAcentral is "partial 16S ribosomal RNA". It matches the Rfam family "Bacterial small subunit ribosomal RNA", at positions 524 to 776 of the family's 1533-position model. The record is from RNAcentral.